This 253-nucleotide ribosomal RNA is filed under the name uncultured bacterium. Its description in RNAcentral is "partial 16S ribosomal RNA". It matches the Rfam family "Bacterial small subunit ribosomal RNA", at positions 524 to 776 of the family's 1533-position model. The record is from RNAcentral.
UACGUAGGGGGCAAGCGUUGUCCGGAAUCAUUGGGCGUAAAGCGCGCGUAGGCGGCCCUGUAAGUCCGCUGUAAAAGUCAAAGGCUCAACCUUUGAAAGCCGGUGGAUACUGCAGGGCUAGAGUCCGGAAGAGGCGAGUGGAAUUCCUGGUGUAGCGGUGGAAUGCGCAGAUAUCAGGAAGAACACCCGUGGCGAAAGCGGCUCUCUGGAACGGUACUGACGCUGAGACGCGAAAGCGUGGGGAGCGAACAGG